Long non-coding RNA from Manis pentadactyla (Chinese pangolin), 2724 nucleotides. RefSeq lists it as uncharacterized. Lineage: Eukaryota; Metazoa; Chordata; Mammalia; Pholidota; Manidae. The transcript has 4 exons. The record is from RefSeq and is a predicted model, not a curated record.
AGAAUGAAUCACAUUUGAGUGACUGUUUCACCACACCUUUGCUGGCAUUGGGUAUUAUCCAUUUUUUAUAGCUUCUUUCUCUUUUGCUUCCCUCCGAUAAUGGGUAUGCCAAGGAAAAAAGAGAGAAUCCCAGAGCUGUUUAUGGAGCCUUCACUUUAACCACCUGACUCAGCUAAGUCUAUACCUAAACACUUGAGGACAGCAGGUUUUGAUCUGAUUAGUUGAACUGUCUGGCAGAAUUAAGCUAUCAGUAUAGUUACCACGCCUCUUUAGUGAUCUCAUCCUCCUGCCAUUCAAAAAGUAGGAACUGAGCACCCAGAUCCUGUGGUAGGGUUUGCGAAGAUGUAGAAGUCCUGGUCUCUGCCCUCAAAGAUCCUGUAUUUUGGACAAAGCCAGAUAUUCAGAUGGUAUUACAAACACAGUGUUCAUUUGAUCAGUUACUUCAAUUCUCUGGGGUUCGGGUUACUCAUCUGGGAACUGGGGCGUCCCAUCUUCUAGCACCAAUAUUCUGCGUGCUUCCACAAUCCCCUCCUCUGCCUCACACUGUCCCUCUCCUCCCCAAAACAAACCCCGUCCUCCAAAUGCACACUUACAUAGUCACUAUGAUCGAUAGAUUUUAUCCUCAUGCCCACCUCUCAAGCACUGCCAUUUGUACACUAGCUCACUUAUUUCUCACAACGCUAUUGAGAUUGUUAUUUUAAUCCCCACUUCCUAGAUAGUGACAUGGAGACUCAAGGAGGGUUUUGCCAAAGGUCCUAAAAAAUGGGAUCAAGGCUGAGCCCAGGUCAGUGGGGCCCUAAAUGUGUGCCCUUCCAUUGAUUGCCACAGACACCCUCAGCCUCCUUUCCUGUCCCCUGCCUGUCUUCUGCAGUGACUCCCCUAUCCUUCCCCUUGCAUUUUCUAAAUCUUGUCCAUCCAUCAAGGGCCAGCUGGACCCCCUGACAUCUGCCAGUGCUCCCAGGAUGUGAUGUCUCUGAGGACCUGAACCACGGCCUUUGAUGGACUGUGCACAAGCACACCUGGACCCUCUGAGCACAUCUUGCCCCCGAGAAGGACGCUUGGCUGAGGAGUAAAGUAGUGAGAGCUGUGCCUCCCUCACUGCCCUCAGACCUGCUGUGAACAUUAUUUUUAAAGCCAACAGUGAAGCCCUGCCCUGCCACCGGACCACCUUGCCCUCCGUACACGCAGAUGCCGCUGCUCCGAGCCAGCCUGCCUCCCUCCCCGCAGGCUUGGCGAAGGAAGCCACUGGGAGGGCUGCGAGCCUGGUCUCCGUGGACCCUCCGUGCGCCGCCACGUUCCAGAGCGCAGUGCUGAAAGGGACGCAAACGGAGGAUUCUGCAAAAUUCUGCCCAGCAAGCUGUGAAGCCAGCAGAGUUUAGUCUCUCAGCCAGCUAGGAAGGGUGAUCCUCUGUCGUGAUGCCUGGUGGCAGCAGUGAGCAGCCGCUUCCAGACAGCCACACGAUCUUUUCUGGGAGGCUUGAGGAAACUCAUUUCAAGAUUUUUAUGUUUAUGCGAAAAACUUCACUCCUGUCAUAUACACAAGCAAGCCCAGUUGCCAUCUGCACUUUACUGAAGGUCAUUCAGACUAAGAGUGAAUUAAGUGCCUACUCGAGGCCUUUGCGACCCUCCCACCUUCCGUGGGCAGUUAGCGCUAGAAUCCUACACCCUCAGAGAAAGGGACCUCAAGAGCUGCCGGGCCCAAACUCCCCAAAUUCCUGAUGGAGAAAAAGAGCUUUGGCUUUUGUCAUUAUUCCUUGUCAUGAGAUGCAACAAAUUAGUCCCUUUCUGUCAAAGACUUCACCCCCAUACGCUAUCAUGGCAGCCCCUAAACAAUUAUGUCUAGGUCAUCUAAAGAAUAUUGACUGGUAGCUCACGCCCAGGGAAGAAUCUCCCUAGGAGGCCAGAGGGGAUUUUGGCCAAAGCUCCCUUACCCUUCAGCUGUGUCCUGAGGCAAGAGAAAGGGGGCUGCCCGUGGGUUUCCCUGAGGAGCAGGAGGGAGAGUGUGUGUCCCGGAAGCCCUCUGCCCAGCCGGGCUGGCUGUGGUGUGGGGGAAGGGACACUGUGGGGUCUGCCCUGCGGGGAGGGUGGCUUUCUCAGCCCCCCAGAGCAGACUGGAGGCGUCCUUGACUCCGAAUGGGGGCUCAGGACCCAGCCUGCAGGCCAGAGUGCCAUCCCCUAGGAAUACACAGCUCUUCCCCUCUGUCUGUCUCCUCCAGCUCCAUCUAGAAUUGUGAGAAAGAGCAGGAGACCUGGGGUGAGCCCCAGCGGGUGCCUCAGAGGGAGGCUUCGGUGGGAGUGACUGCCUUUGCACUCCACUUUGGGGCCCUGCGCUGUUUGGUCCUGGCACCCGCCACCGGGCAGGAAUGCACCAGGCUUCAAAGGAGGCCCUAAAGCGGAGCGUUAAGCAGAUUGACGGAAGCUACUAAAGAACUCAGCCUGGAGCAAUCAGCAACUUUCCUCAGACUGCUGAGAGCCCAGCAAGCCGAGAAGGGAUGAAAGUCUCCACUAACCGGGAGGGAAACACAAACACCCAAGAGUGGAUUCUAUAGACAGUAAUAUGACCGAGUUCAUAGAAAAAUUGUAUUACCAUUUGAAGUCACUGAAGCUGUUUCCAGCUGUGUUGGGAGAGAUACUGCUGCCCCCAGGGAAAAAUGACCUAAUAUGGUAAAAGUGAACGUAAUACCAUACAUAUUAUCCUGGAACAAAAUAAAUAGAAUAAUAUGC